GUCUGAACAACAGCGUCAGUUGGACGGCAGCAGUCGAACCGUUCACAUCGUAGGUAUCCCUCUCUCUAUGAUUGGUUGAGUUUCGUGAAUUUCGUAGACUUGAAAAUUAAUUGAAACUUUGCGUGCAAAAGAAAAAACGCUGUUGCAUUUUCUUUGUCGUCUGCUGUUGAAUGUGCCAGUGAAUUUGGUGUCUUCUGUUUGUUUUCUGUUGAAAUUAUUAUACGUCCUAAUUUCAAGUGAUUUUGAAUCUGACAAUGUGAAAAAAUAGAAUUGCGGCUGCCAUGCACAGAGAAAAGGGAAAGAUUACACACACACACACAAAAAGAGUUGAAACAGCUGAAAGAGAUUUGAAGCUUGUCCUAGUUUGCCCUGACUCUUAAUCAACGAAAAGUGAUUGAAUGACUGAUUCCAGAACAAGAAGUGAGAAAGACUUGGUCAAGUGUUAACCUACUUUAGCUCUUUUUUUUUCACUCCCAAUCGCCAUUGAAAAGAUAAUCAAUCAAUUACAAAGAAAAAACGAAAGUUUUCCCGCACUUUAUGCAGCGAUUUCGAUUCGACUGCUAUCGCCUUUGUUCCACGUGUUCUUGGUCGUGUCGCGAUUAUUGCCAAAUCGGUUCGAUUCGCUUUUAUCGAUACAUCGGAUUAAGUUCGGUGUCGAACCUCGUGCUGGCCUUUUUUUUUCGCAGUCCAGUUUGCUGACCGGUUGACCGUCACACCCAUCGCACGAUUACAUGGUUUCAUUUUCACGUCUUUUUACCAAAAAAAGACUGGACCCAACAAUUGGAGCAACCCUAUUUGAUUAUCGAUAACGAGUUGAACUUGCAGCGUGGCGGGGUAUGCCGAAAAGUCGCGACGAAUUGACGAGAGAGAGAGACCAGAAGAGAUUGAGGAAUUUCCGAGAGCAACGCGCUAAAGGAGGAGAGAGCCCAAGGCAGCUGAUCGAACGGGAACACUCUGGCCAUUUCGAGACUGACGCUUGAACGUCGGUAGCCGUCGGACGCGAGUAAUGGAGUGCUCCGCACGAAGACCUUUUCGUGAAUUGGCAGUGGGCGGCGUGACGAUGUUUGCCCUUGCCGUAAUGAUGGCCGCCUUCGGCCCAGCAGCCGCCCUCGAUACAAGUCAAUGCGUCGGUGCCCUGGGCAUGGAAUCGGGAGCCAUUCGUGACGAGGACAUAGCCGCCAGCUCUUCGUUCGACGGUGCCAGCGUCGGGCCACACAAUGCCAGAGUGCGUGUCGAGAGAAAUGGAGGAGCGUGGUGCCCUCGCCAACAGGCCACUCAUCAGCCUCGUGACUGGCUCGAGAUCGAUUUGAAGACGGACCACGUCAUCACGGCCGUCGAGACCCAAGGGCGAUUCGGCAACGGCCAAGGGCAGGAAUUUGCGGAGCACUUUCUGCUUGAAUACUGGAGGGAAUCGCUGGCCAAAUGGGUCCGUUACAAGGACACCAAAAGCGAAGAGGUAAUCGCAGGAAAUACAAACACGUACGUGGCGGAGAAGCGUGAAUUGGAUCCGGUGUUGAUCGCCCGCAAGUUGCGAUUUUUCCCGUACAGUCACCACAGGCGAACGGUUUGCAUGCGAGUCGAGAUUUAUGGCUGCCCUUGGUCUGAGGGUAUUGCCAGCUAUCUGAUGCCGCAGGGAGAUCAGCGAGGAGCCGGUUGGCAAUUCUACGAUGCCUCUUACGACGGCAUCUGGGACGGCUCUUUACUGCGCCAGGGACUCGGCCAGUUGACAGACGGCAAACUCGGUCCCGACAAUUUCAAAGCCAGUUACUACGACCAAGAUCGAGGUUGGGUCGGAUGGCGUAACGACUCGCGCAACGGACAGCCCGUCGAGAUCGUUUUCGAGUUCGAUACGGUGCGCGAUUUCACGUCGCUGAGUAUCUUCGCCAAUAACCAGUUCACCAAAGAUGUUCAGAUCUUCUCUGAGAUGCAAGUGCAUUUCAGCGUCGGAGGACAAGUGUACCCGGGUGAGCCAAUCAUCUACCGACCUCCCGAGGAUCGCAUAUUUGAGAAUUCACGCAACAUCAGUAUUAAGCUGCACCACCGAGUCGGACGCUACGUCAAACUGCGUUUGUCUUUCCCGGCUCCUCCGGCUCGCUGGAUUCUCAUCAGCGAAGUCUCUUUCCGCUCCGAAGUGGCCGCCAGAAAUUACACGACCGAAGUGGAUGGCAGUCCCGUCACUCCACCGGCCGCCCCACCCAAUCCGCCCGUCUCCAAUUUGCCACUCCCGCCAACCGGUCACGAAGUCGGGAUCAACGCCGGCUCGUCGGAUCAAACCAACGAAACGAGCCCACCAACCAGAGAGAACCAAACGUACAUGGCAAUCAUCGUCGGUGUCUUGGUGGCCGUCAGUUUCCUGUUGGCGGCGGCCAUCUUCUUCAUGAUAAUGCGACGUCGUCAACGCAAGAGCCUCUCCGGCAGUCCGCUGCCGGACAAGGCAAAUUGGGCCUCUCAGGUGGGAAGUCAGCCCAGUCCCCGUCUGUUGGACGGGUCUGUCGGUGAGCAUCACGAGGAUCAAUUGUUGCAACACCAUCGCGGUAAAAUCUACAACAAGAACAACUCGCUGCCGUAUGGCAACAUUGGCGCCGACUUGUCGCGCUCGGACGCGGCCUCCCAGUACUUGCUGCCUCACUCGCCGGCCAGUGCCCACUUGACGAGAACCGAGUACCAGGAGCCUUAUCACGCCCUUCGCUUCUCGCCUUAUUACAGCUACAGCACUCUAUUGCUGGCCGGAACUGAAGGUGCACUGAAAAAGGCCAACACAUCCGCAGAUACGUACGACUACGCCGUGCCGGAUGUUAGCGGGAUUAGCAGCUGCAGCACUGCCCAUCAACCCCUACUAAUCCAGCCAUCUCUACAAAAACAACAUCAUCCGCUUAAGCCCAAAUUGCCUGUCGCUUCGCCACCUCCGCACGCAAUCGAAAUCGACACUUUGGCCUCAUCUUCUCAUUCCACGACGACCACUGGCUCGGCAUCCUCAGCAUCCGUCCGUCUAGGAGGCAGCAAGAACAACAAUCAGAUGGGCCACUUGAACGGCAUUAGCGAAUCCAGUCCAUUGAAAAAGCCCGCCGACCGAGCAGAAUUAUUGUCCGCACUGAAAUCACGGGCCGAAUCGCUGAUCAUACCGGAAUUACCACGCAGCAAAUUGCAUAUGGUCCAACGCAUCGCCAGUGGGGCGUUUGGUACCGUCUAUAAGGCCGAAGCCGAACACGUUCCCGAAUACGGAAGUGCCGUCUACACUUCACGGCGACUUGUGGCCGCCAAAUAUCUUCCCAACACGUCAGACAAAGACAAGUCGGGAUUCUACCAGGAAGUGAGGCUAUUGGCAGCUCUGGACGAUCCGCACUUGUCGCGUGUUUUGGCCGUUUGCACGACGGAAGAGCCCUUUUGCGUCGUUUUAGAAUAUCUGGAAUUCGGUGAUCUGAACCAAUUUCUCAAACUGCAUCGAUUCAGACCGGAUAACCACCACAACUCGUCCGACAGCCGCAACAACAUAUCAAAAACGUUCUCUACUCCGGACGAAACGUUAACGAUGGGAAGUUUGAUAUUUAUGGCCAGUCAGAUCGCCUCGGGAAUGCGUUACCUUGAGUCUCUAAAUUUCGUUCACCGCGAUUUGGCCGCCAGGAACUGUUUGGUUGGCAAAGGACUUCAAGUCAAAAUCUGCGAUUUCGGUACAGACAGCGACAUAUACGGAUUGGAUUAUUAUCGCGCGGAGGAUCAAGUAAUCGGCUUACCAGUUCGCUGGAUGGCAUGGGAAUCCGUAAUACAGGGGAAAUAUACGACCAAGAGUGACGUGUGGGCAUUUGCAGUGACGCUGUGGGAAAUAUUGGUCCUUGGCCGGCAGCGUCCUUACCAAGAGCUUAGCGACGAUGCAGUUGUGGAUAAUUUGCAGCAUUUUGCGCAAGGAAAUCUCACCAGUGCACCUCCGUCUGUUUCGCUGUCGAGACCGCAGCACUGCCCUCGCGAUAUUUACGACUUGAUGUGCGAAUGCUGGCGGCGUCUACCCACCGAACGUCCCUCCUUCCGUGAAAUCCACCUUUUCCUACAACGGAAAAAUCUCGGCUAUUCACCCAAUGCAUAGUAACUCCUCUCGUUUAGCAAUUCGCGUAUGCUGGAGCUAACGAGUGCUGGUACAGUUCCGUCGUUCGUCUAAUCUAUAUAUUGCUAUUAUGUUCACUUCUUGCAUAUCAACAGCGUCACAAAUCUUCGUGAAAAAUGUAACGGUUGCUUCUGCUGUGAUAUGCUCCAAUUCUGACUCGACCAUUGACUAUAUUAUAAUUUAAUUUUUAUACGGAUGCAUGCGAACCACUUACUGUUUAGCUAGCUAUUUCAUUUUGAUUUGUUUUAAUCAGCUAGUCAAUUUGUCGCUUCAUUUCUGUUGGUUCCGUUAUCAUAUAAGGUAUCUUACAGUCUGGAAAAAUGGGGUAAGUGUGGUUCUUAUUUCUAGGGUGCAACGAGCACCAACUGGUAUUUAAUAUACAGUAUAUAUAUAUAAAUAUAUAUCUUUAAACGUGAUCGAUUGUUUCAACUUUCGAGUUUACUUAAUUCGUACUAUAACAUCGUUUGUCGUCGCAAUUCAUUUGUAUACAUAUCUUUCUUUCGAGCAUCCCAACUGCUGCACUACUGUAGUGUUAAUAAAUUGGUACUACCCAUUUCAAGCCCAUUUGCUUCUUUUUCUUUAAUUUCUUGAUAUCCGAAGUUUUCUUUGGAAGACAAGCCUACUGAGCAUACGUUAACAUUAAUUACCUUAACAGGAUUUCCCAAAGGUACGGAUUUAUAGGAGCAUUUGAGAACCAAGAGAUCUUGAGCUGGCUAUAAAAAAGCGGCUCAAUAGGCGUUACUCUUACUUUUUCAGUAUUUGAAUUCGGUUGAAAUCAAGAACCAAUUCCGCUCUCUGUUGUUGUGCCCAUGACUUACCUGGGUUUCACAUGGGUAAUUAAAUGUAGAAACCCGUUCUACUAACCGGUUUUUACCGCUUUUUAUCCAGAUUAGACUGACACUCUGUCACUAUGACAGAAUUCGAACCUAAAAAGAAGAAUAAAAAUUUCUGGCAACAGUGCCAACCGUCAAACUCAAAGAAAUUUUUCCCUUGCCACUUUGCGAGUCGCGACAUUUUGUCAUUUACCGCCAUAGUUUUGUACGGAUUAGGUUGCGUACUGAAUCCGAAGUAAGAAGUAUUUAACUUCAACAUUUGUAGGCCAUAAGUGUUACUUUCUGCAAUCUGCAGUGUGACGGUAAGCACUGGAUCAAAUUUUGCCAGCUUUAUUUCACAAUGUGCCUAAAAAAAUUCAAACAAAGAAUGUGAAAAUCUUGUGUGGGUCAGGUGAUCAUCAAUAGCUAGUCUCCGUUGUUAUGAUACUUGUUUUGGAAAGACAUCAGUGGUGGGCAUUUAUUGUUUUGGUGUACAUCCAGCAUUUAUGUUAAAUAAGGAAGCAGAAUAUGUCAGAAGUUGACUUCUAAGUUUCCUCAUAAAAUUGUAUGUAGGAGCUGUUUAAACAUACACUUCAUUGUGGAGGUCCUUUAUGUUAUUGCUUGGCAAUAUCAUCUCCCCAUUCCAUCAGCUUAGCAAACAAGCUGCAAAUGAAAAAAUUUUUGUUUUAACAACCAGCUAAGUUCCAGAAUUUAUUUUAGUUAAUUUUUAGAGAAUCCAAAAGAAAAGUUUCUAUAUUUAGUGCUUCAAAAACACGAUCUGAAAAUUUUGGUUUUGUGUGAAAGGAAACUUGGACGAAAACGUGCAUAGGUACUUAGGUAGCCUCAGUAAUGCCAUCGAAAAGGAAAUGCAUUUAUUUUGUGAAGUCAUGGCAAGCCGCUAACAGAUUGUUUUACGUGAUGCUGAUUUCAGAUUAUGAAUGAAUGAACUCAAGACAUCUAGGGGAGAAAUAACUAACUCCGCAGAUUUUUUAUGCAUAUGUCAGCUGGUUCCAUUUCGCGUGGCUUCGGACUGAGGAUGCAUGCUGAAACGAACUUCUCUUCUCAAAAUUUUACCACCGAUUCCGUGUAUUUUGAGCUGCACCUUGUGAAUUCAAUUAAUGCAGAGUUGUUCAAGGUAUUUGGGAUCUACCUGAUGUACUGUGGUGGCCGCAAAAUCAUUGAGUGACAUGGUUCAAUCCAGGACUUGGUUUCUUCUAUAGUGCUCUACAGUUUUAAUUUGCAGAGAUCCUGAAGGCACCUGAUGUGUUGCAUUGGUGUUGGAGUCACUUGGUGACAGAAGAAAAUGCCACUAAUGUUAUGUUGUCAGUGUAAAUAAAACAUAUCCCGUAUCA
Daphnia magna is the source of this 6260-nucleotide RNA transcript. It is a transcript of the gene named discoidin domain-containing receptor 2, with no coding region annotated. NCBI's taxonomy places the organism in Eukaryota, Metazoa, Arthropoda, Branchiopoda, Diplostraca, Daphniidae. The transcript has 21 exons. The record is from RefSeq and is a predicted model, not a curated record.